Molecule: ribosomal RNA, 492 nt
Filed under: uncultured bacterium
Lineage: Bacteria
Description: partial 16S ribosomal RNA
Rfam family: Bacterial small subunit ribosomal RNA
Source: RNAcentral
AGUGAACGCUGGCGGUAGGCCUAACACAUGCAAGUCGAACGGCAGCACAGUAAGAGCUUGCUCCUACGGGUGGCGAGUGGCGGACGGGUGAGGAAUACAUCGGAAUCUACUUUUUCGUGGGGGAUAACGUAGGGAAGCUUACGCUAAUACCGCAUACGACCUACGGGUGAAAGCAGGGGAUCUUCGGACCUUGCGCGAUUGAAUGAGCCGAUGUCGGAUUAGCUAGUUGGCGGGGUAAAGGCCCACCAAGGCGACGAUCCGUAGCUGGUCUGAGAGGAUGAUCAGCCACACUGGAACUGAGACACGGUCCAGACUCCUACGGGAGGCAGCAGUGGGGAAUAUUGGACAAUGGGCGCAAGCCUGAUCCAGCCAUACCGCGUGGGUGAAGAAGGCCUUCGGGUUGUAAAGCCCUUUUGUUGGGAAAGAAAAGCAGCAGGUUAAUACCCCGCUGUUCUGACGGUACCCAAAGAAUAAGCACCGGCUAACUUCGUG